CCGAUUCUUGAUCAACUGUGGUAUCGUUGUUAGCAUAUACGCCAAUCUAAUUAAGUUCUCCAAUAUUUUACCUCUUCCAGUUUACUUAUACUUUGAAUUAUCAAUACUAUUUCUUGGUCUAAUCUAUAUGCUAAGAGAUUUAGUCCUUUUGUUUGUUAAUCUUGCUACCUUACUGUCAUAAGAUGUAGGGAGGAUUAUAAUGAUAGUACUCGACAAUAUUAAAAUAGAAAAAUAAGUUCACAAUCACAAUAUUAAAAUAGAAAAAUAAGUUCACAAUCACAAUAUUAAAAUAGAAAAAUAAGUUCACAAUCACAAUAUUAAAAUAGAAAAAUAAGUUCACAAUCACAAUAUUAAAAUAGAAAAAUAAGUUCACAAUCACAAUAUUAAAAUAGAAAAAUAAGUUCACAAUCACAAUAUUAAAAUAGAAAAAUAAGUUCAAAUCUUAUUCUAUUCUACCAAACAUGCAUUUGAUGCAUCGCU
Molecule: long non-coding RNA, 480 nt
Filed under: Olea europaea (common olive)
Lineage: Eukaryota; Viridiplantae; Streptophyta; Magnoliopsida; Lamiales; Oleaceae
Description: long non-coding RNA (OEUR_LNC009987)
Source: RNAcentral